CGGUGAAUACGUUCCCGGGCCUUGUACACACCGCCCGUCACACCAUGGGAGUGGGUUGCAAAAGAAGUAGGUAGCUUAACCUUCGGGAGGGCGCUUACCACUUUGUGAUUCAUGACUGGGGUGAAGUCGUAACAAGGUAACCGUAGGGGAACCUGCGGUUGGAUCACCUCCUUA
Molecule: ribosomal RNA, 174 nt
Filed under: Escherichia coli
Lineage: Bacteria; Pseudomonadati; Pseudomonadota; Gammaproteobacteria; Enterobacterales; Enterobacteriaceae
Also listed under: 1 other name
Description: partial 16S ribosomal RNA
Rfam family: Bacterial small subunit ribosomal RNA
Source: RNAcentral